RNAcentral lists this ribosomal RNA (229 nucleotides) under uncultured bacterium. RNAcentral describes it as "partial 16S ribosomal RNA". It matches the Rfam family "Bacterial small subunit ribosomal RNA", at positions 568 to 796 of the family's 1533-position model. The record is from RNAcentral.
UGCGCAGGCGGAACUUUAAGUCAGUCGUGAAAUCUUGCCGCUUAACGGUAAAAUUGCCAUUGAUACUGAAGUUCUUGAAUAUGGUUGAGGUAGGCGGAAUGUGUUGUGUAGCGGUGAAAUGCAUAGAUAUGACACAGAACGCCGAUUGCGAAGGCAGCUUACUAAGCCAUUAUUGACGCUGAGGCACGAAAGCGUGGGGAGCGAACAGGAUUAGAUACCCUGGUAGUCC